Long non-coding RNA from Parus major (Great Tit), 2121 nucleotides. Lineage: Eukaryota; Metazoa; Chordata; Aves; Passeriformes; Paridae. The record is from Ensembl.
CACCACCUUGGUUUAGAUCAGUGGGGAAACCACCAACCUGGAUGAAAGUUGGCCUAUUGUAAGAAGAAGCACUUAAUCUCCUCAGAGAAGGGGCUUCAGAAUUUGCUCUACCAACACUUGACUGAAACAUCUGUGUAUUUUUGGAUGUGUUUUCUGUCCAAACUGUUGGUAUGUAUUUAUUUGUGCAUGUUUGUAUGUUUGAGAGUGCAUGCUCAAUUGCUGCAGAAUGAAUGGGUGGUUUAGAUUCUUUGAGUUUAGGAAUGCAAAACUUGGAAUCAUGCUACUGUUUUUUAGGUCUGAAUGAAGUCUUAAAAGAAUUAUUAAAUUAUAUUGAAGUGACUGGGGGCCUUUAUAGCUUGUUAAACUACUAAAAAGACAGAAAAAAAAAAAUGCUAAAGUUUUCUCUGAUUUCAGAUCAUCUCAUAUUCUCAUUGCUACCCAAUGUAACUGCAAUCCCUUUCUGAAAAGUAAACAUUAUAAUACAGCUCACAGAAUGAAUGUUUUAAAAAUAACCCUAUAGAUGGUGUAUGCUAUAUUUACUAUAGAAAUUGAAAUUGCAAAGGUUUCUGAAUCUCCCAAGCCCCCACAUUAUGUAUUUUCUUUGUGCUAGGUUGAAAUACAGGAGACCAUUUUCUAGUAUGCUAUGAAUGAGAAAUACUCCAGAUGAAAGAAGAUUAUUAUACUUGCCUUCAGGCUCGGAGAAUAGAUUGCUGCUAAACCUAGUGAAGACUCCCCCUGUUAAUCCUUCAGACCUGGAUGUAAGAAGCUCACAAGAACAUGAACCAGAAUGCUACAAAUUUUAUCUUCUUUAUAGGUCUGUUAUAUGGCUUAUCCAGCAGAAGUUCUUCUGUAUAAAGCAAGCAAAUGAAAUGCAGACUUCUGCUGUUACACCACACUGGUACCCUUAUAAGGUCACUUAAUAGGUAACAGAAAACAUUUUGACAGUCACAGAUUAUUUCCAUUGGAAAAGCAGCACUUGUUGUAAGAUAAGGUUGUAGUUCAGAACCAGACUCCUCUAGACAGGAAGAAACUAAGCCAAAUCUAAAAGAGAACUACAAAAUUCAGUGAAAUCCACAAGGUGACAUUAAAGGAAUUGUUAUAUUUUUAUGAUUUUGCUUCUUAAUUUGCAUGGUGAUGGGUAUGAAGUGACAAAAAUCCCAACUUACUAUCUGUUCUGCCUCUCCCUUGAUGAAUUUAUGCACGUAGGAUAAAUGUAGACUUAGCAUAACAAUAAUGCCACUAUUCUUUCCCAUGUCCCAGGUCUAAAAUUCCAGCAAAAUUGCACAGGAAUUUCACAAGAUAGGAUUUUUGGAUUUGACCAUUUCAUUGUGUCCAUAUUUAUAGCUGAAUUGUAUUUUUUUUCCAAAAAAGUGUAACACAAAUUAUUACAAAAUGGAAACAAAGCAGUAAUCUGUUGUAUUGUUGCUACUCUAGAGCACACCCACUAGUUUUUCCUUAUGAGCUAGUCCUUUUGAGUUUUUACAACAUAUUUCCACUAAGCACAUCUAUUGCUGCUGAAUCUAUCUUUGAUGUUACUGGAAUUCUUCACAUUAAAUGAGUCAAAGUUUCAAAGCUGUAGUUACCUGUGGAGACUGGUACAAUUCAUUUCAUACAUUUACUGCUCAUUAGCACGUGUAUGAAGCAGUUUCUUGCACCUUGUAUAUCUGUAAUGAAUAUUAAACCAUCUCAUCUACUCAUAAUAAUAUAAUAGCUCCUGUGAUGACAGACUCUGUUUGCACAGGAAGCAGAUGUUGAUGUUUACCUAGAUGUAAUUUGCAAUGAUGAGUGGUGGUGAGAUGAGGUUUUUUCCUGCCAAAACAAUUCAGUCUAUGUUAAGCUUCUGCAAAAUCUUUUGCAUGCCAUUGUGGACUCUUAGGUCAUUAUAGAUAUCCAUAUUAUCACAUAUUAUCACCUUGAAUAAUUGUGGAUCUUAAUUUUAAUAUUAAUCAAGAUAUUAAAUUAUGCAUAUAAGAAAACUGUUUAGUUAAAGAGGUAUUUACCAAGUCGCUGUAAUGUGAUGUCCAGGAAAAGUUCUGGGUAAACUUCAAACCAAAGAUGAAAAUAGUAUUUUUCAGGGUCAUAAAUGUAUUUCUGACAAAUAAAUAUGGUAUAAAUUAUUCA